AAGCACUCGUGGGACAAGGAACAGCUGAAAGUGGUGAUGUUUUGGAACAUGUUUGCUGUAGCAUUUAUUUUCUUGACUUUGGUUUCAUUUGCUGUCUUUUUGAAUCAGUAUUCACUAACAUGUUCUGGAGUAACAAUCCUAACUGCUGCAUAUCAGUACCUAGCACUUUUACUGCCAGCUAUAAAUAGAAUUGCUGCUAAAAGCAAAUGGCAAGAAAGUUUGACAAUCUCUCUAAAAUUGCUUCCAUUGUGUUUAAGUUUUCCCAACAACGGUCUGGAUCUUAUUUCUGCAAAUGCUACUCAUCUGCAGUAUCCCAAGCAUAUAUGAUGAUCCUGCAAACUUUGAACUGACCAUGGAGUUGCUCAACACAUCCUCCUGCACUGCAGCACUGAGUGCUCAACAUGUGGACUAAACAGAGCUCACAGAGCUGUCUUAAGAUCCUGGGGACUAGAAGCCUGUUAUUCAAGCCCAUCAUUCUGCUAUCUCUUUAUGAAUUCAUGGCCAGGCCAGCUCAUUCACCUUUCCUCCUCCUCCUGUCCUGUGUCGAGCGGGAGCCACUUAGCGAGCAAACACCUAGAGGCCAACUCUGACUCUCAUUUGGGGCAGUUCCCAAAACACAGACCACGACAUCCCUGGAGUGCAAGGAAGAGGAAGACAAACAGAAGGCAUAUGAUGAAGCUACAUGUCGUGGAAGGCCAAAAAUAGGCCUAAUAUGUGUCCUGACUUGUCCAAACAUGAUCCCUUACUCCCCUUCCCCUCUGCUGGAGUGGGAAGCAACACAGGAUGAGGACAAAACACCUGGAGAUACUGAGUCUGAGGGCCUGAUUUGCCCAGACUCGUUUUGCUCCUGAUUACAUUCUGUGGCACACAAGGUACACAUGCUUGCCUGAUGCACACACCUGUGCUUUCACAAAUUCAGGUAAAGCAAGCCCCUAGCUUCAACUAAUACAGUUAGCUUUGGCACAAAGACACCAUGCUUGCCUGCAACCUGUGAACCUCCAUGCCAAGUCCAGAGCCCCCUAAGAAGGAAUCAAGAUAAGGUCAGAGACCAUGCAAGCCCCAGCACCCUGCCAGAGUCCUUGAGAAACUCUAAAGCCUCCAACGGUUAUCACGCUGCCGACACCACUUCUUCAACUGUUUUGGGUACUGUCUGGAAGUAUAGAGCAGCCUUGGAAAUCCAGAGAUGAUAAUUUUAUAUGCGACUUUAGAAGUUCAUCUGGAGAGCUACAAAAUGGUUUAGGUGAUUUGGGAAACAGUCCUAUACAAGGCUUGGAUGCAAGUGAUCCUGGUACCAGUGUGAAACCAAGAGGAAGCAUAUGGAGAGAGGUGUAUGGCAGAACUGUAUCAAAGCCAGAAGGUCAGGAGGUCUUCUGAGUGGAGGUCACUGCACAGACGAGACUGUUGCCUUCAAGACUGCGUUUCCCCUUCUGCUUUGAAGGCAGAAGCUGAAUGCAACAGCACUGCAUAGACAGAAAGUGGAGUUUGGAAAAAGAUGUGACUGCUUUUCUGUAUUGCAUAAGACCUGACAAGCAAUUUCUUCCUUAUCUUCUACCUUCUCUUUCCCCCUUCUCUUUACUUCCUUACCUACUUCUCUUGUCUCCCUCUCCUCUCUUU
Pogoniulus pusillus (Red-fronted tinkerbird) is the source of this 1614-nucleotide long non-coding RNA. RefSeq lists it as uncharacterized. The record is from RefSeq and is a predicted model, not a curated record. NCBI's taxonomy places the organism in Eukaryota, Metazoa, Chordata, Aves, Piciformes, Lybiidae. The transcript has 6 exons.